GUGGGGAAUAUUGGGCAAUGGGGGAAACCCUGACCCAGCGACGCCGCGUGAGGGAAGAAGGCCUUAGGGUCGUAAACCUCUGUUGUGUGGGAAGAAGAGCGUGACGGUACCACACGAGGAAGUCCCGGCUAACUACGUGCCAGCAGCCGCGGUAAUACGUAGGGGACGAGCGUUAUCCGGAUUUACUGGGCGUAAAGGGCGCGUAGGCGGUCAUUUAAGUCAGCUGUGAAAUGGUUUGGCUUAACCGGAUCAUGCGGUUGAAACUGGAUGACUGGAGUGCUGGAGAGGCAAGUGGAAUUCCCAGUGUAGCGGUGAAAUGCGUAGAUAUUGGGAAGAACACCGGUGGCGAAGGCGACUUGCUGGCCAGCAACUGACGCUGAGGCGCGAAAGCCAGGGGAGCAAACGGGAUUAGAAACCCGGGUAGUCC
RNAcentral lists this ribosomal RNA (427 nucleotides) under uncultured bacterium. Its description in RNAcentral is "partial 16S ribosomal RNA". It matches the Rfam family "Bacterial small subunit ribosomal RNA", at positions 354 to 796 of the family's 1533-position model. The record is from RNAcentral.